UGCGGAUGGUGUGACUUGGCACUGGCGGAAUUAUCACCAGUGACGCAAGAAUCGUGAUGUUCCCCUGGUGCCUCAUCUCACCAUCCUCCC
RNAcentral lists this microRNA precursor (90 nucleotides) under Capitella teleta. RNAcentral describes it as "microRNA cte-mir-96 precursor". Its record names the gene cte-mir-96. Lineage: Eukaryota; Metazoa; Annelida; Polychaeta; Capitellidae. The record is from miRBase by way of RNAcentral.